Molecule: unclassified non-coding RNA, 207 nt
Filed under: soil metagenome
Description: partial contains 5.8S ribosomal RNA, internal transcribed spacer 2, and large subunit ribosomal RNA
Source: RNAcentral
AACCAUAGAAACCUGCGGAGUACCUGCGGAAGGAUCAUUACCGAGUUUACAACUCCCAAACCCCUGUGAACAUACCUAUACGUUGCCUCGGCGGAUCAGCCCGCGCCCUGUAAAACGGGACGGCCCGCCCGAGGACCCUAAACUCUGUUUUUAGUGGAACUUCUGAGUAAAACAAACAAAUAAAUCAAAACUUUUAACAACGGAUCU